RNAcentral lists this ribosomal RNA (448 nucleotides) under uncultured bacterium. RNAcentral's name for it is "bacterial SSU rRNA". It matches the Rfam family "Bacterial small subunit ribosomal RNA", at positions 330 to 795 of the family's 1533-position model. The record is from RNAcentral.
ACCAGACUCCUACGGGAGGCAGCAGUGGGGGAUAUUGCACAAUGGGGGGAACCCUGAUGCAGCGACGCCGCGUGGGUGAAGAAGCGCCUCGGCGCGUAAAGCCCUGUCAGCAGGGAAGAAAAUGACGGUACCUGAAGAAGAAGCCCCGGCUAACUACGUGCCAGCAGCCGCGGUAAUACGUAGGGGGCAAGCGUUAUCCGGAUUUACUGGGUGUAAAGGGGGCGCAGACGGCGAUGCAAGCCAGGAGUGAAAGCCCGGGGCCCAACCCCGGGACUGCUCUUGGAACUGCGUGGCUGGAGUGCAGGAGGGGCAGGCGGAAUUCCUGGUGUAGCGGUGAAAUGCGUAGAUAUCAGGAGGAACACCGGUGGCGAAGGCGGCCUGCUGGACUGCAACUGACGGUGAGGCGCGAAAGCGUGGGGAGCAAACAGGAUUAGAUACCCCUGUAGUC